GAUCUAAAAAAUUUAUGUCCCACAUUCCAAAUAUAAAAAAAAAACUUACACUUUUCUAUACGAUAGAAAGAACAAAAAAAAAAAUCCCCCAAAUCAAAACCUAGGUCGUCAGCCUCAUCAGAACACAAAUCAAUCUUUCCUCUUGAUUCAUCUUCAUCACCAUGUGGAUAAGAAGUGUCUCUUCUCAUCUCAAAAUCCUGGUCGCUGAUGUCGUCGCUGAUUCUCCUCCUCGUCUAUCAAUAGCCGGCUCCACUAGUCCCUGUUGGGUUUUAUUUCGUGGCCAAUCCAACAGCCAUUUCUGCUUCUUCUUCUCUUUCUUCUUCUAUGUUCUCUCGAAAUCCCGGCUCACAUGGUUCAUUGUUACUAUAGUUUAAACGCUUUCAGAUCUCGAAUUGGGACUCUAUAGAUAGCGGAUUUAGAUUUUCUUUACGCUGCUUUCUUCAUAGAUUUGGAGGAUAUACAUAAAUCUGGUCUCAUAUAUUGGUUUAAUACUCGAGUAUGUAUACUCAUUUGCUGCAAUUUUGUAAUUUCUCUCCUCCAUUGGAGAGUGAAUGAUUUUUUUAUUAUGGUUAGUAUUUUGCAGUAGAGACUCAUGUGAAGAAGAAGGUGUCAUGAGAAGGGGGAGCUUGUAGCUCAAAAGGAUGAGCUUGAAAUUGAAGCUCAAAAGGAGGAUCUUGAAGCUUGAGCUUGAGAUGACAUCUAAUGGUUUGCAAGUAAGCUCAAGGCAUUUGACUAUAGUCUAUAAAAUGGUUCUGAGAUCGAUCUUCACCAAGGAUGAGCCCAUCUGAGUUUAUUCUUCCGUUUGAUCAGUAUAUGGAGUCUGUGAAGAAUAACUACUCCAUCGGCAUGAGAUUUAAAAUGAGAUUAGAAGGCGAAAAGGCUUCUGCAGAAUUGUGAAAUGGCCUGAAGCUGGUGACAAGCCCAUACAUAUAAGGUUGUGUGGUAAUGUUUAAUAAUCUGCAAAUUCUCUUAGAUUUUUAGCCUUGAGUUAAGGACUUAACUUAAUAUGAAAGAGCUUUGCUUUUCCUUGAACACAAGUACAAUCGUUAGUUAAGGCGAUGAAGGAAGAGGAUGGUGUGGCUAGCGCCGUGAAGAUCCGGUUGUUGGUGUUACGAGUUCAAUGGAAGAUCUAGUUGGUGGCACUUAGGAUGUUAGUUUUAUUUUGUUUCAAUACUUGGCUGCACUUAAGAUAUUAGUAUAAAACUUGCACUACAGGAAAUUUGAUUAUUGAUAGCACAAAAGGAUAGCGUUUUUGAUGUUUAUGCUUUCUUUGAGUUAACCGUGUAUUACAGAUAGCGUUUAGUUAUUUUUAAACGCUACCAA
This is a non-coding RNA of Camelina sativa (false flax), 1323 nucleotides long. NCBI's taxonomy places the organism in Eukaryota, Viridiplantae, Streptophyta, Magnoliopsida, Brassicales, Brassicaceae. The record is from RefSeq and is a predicted model, not a curated record.